RNAcentral lists this small RNA (28 nucleotides) under Bombyx mori (domestic silkworm). RNAcentral describes it as "ovarian small RNA-15500". Lineage: Eukaryota; Metazoa; Arthropoda; Insecta; Lepidoptera; Bombycidae. The record is from RNAcentral.
GACCGGAUGCGCUGGAUGGGGAUUCCGA